Molecule: small nuclear RNA, 295 nt
Filed under: Chelonia mydas (Green sea turtle)
Lineage: Eukaryota; Metazoa; Chordata; Testudines; Cheloniidae
Description: 7SK RNA
Rfam family: 7SK RNA
About the family: 7SK was discovered as an abundant small nuclear RNA in the mid-70s but a possible function has only recently been suggested.
Source: Rfam by way of RNAcentral
ACAUGUGAGGGUGAUCUGGCUGCAAUGUGUCACCCCACUGAUCGCUAGGGUGUAUUUGGCUGAUCUGGCUGGCUAGGCUGGUGUCCCCUUCCUCCCUCACCGCUCCAUGUGCAUCCCUUCCAAAGCUGCAGGGUCGAAGAGGAUAACCUCCCAGACAGAGGAGUACUGUUCUUCGUCAAGGGUAUACUGUAGCUGCCCUCCCCUGCUAGAACCUCCGAACAAGAUCAACCUGACUGGGUAGGGUAGACCAGGCCACAGACUCAGUGACAGACCCAGGCACAAAGAGUAGUAGUCU